GACGGAGGGUGCUAGCGUUGUUCGGAAUCACUGGGCGUAAAGGGCGCGUAGGCGGCGGUUCAAGUCGGAUGUGAAAGCCCGGGGCUCAACCCCGGAGGUGCAUCCGAGACUGAUCUGCUGGAGGCCGGAAGAGGAGGGUGGAAUACCCAGUGUAGAGGUGAAAUUCGUAGAUAUUGGGUGGAACACCGGUGGCGAAAGCGGCUCUCUGGUCCGGACCUGACGCUGAGGCGCGAAAGCGUGGGGAGCAAACAGG
This 253-nucleotide ribosomal RNA is filed under the name uncultured bacterium. RNAcentral describes it as "partial 16S ribosomal RNA". It matches the Rfam family "Bacterial small subunit ribosomal RNA", at positions 524 to 776 of the family's 1533-position model. The record is from RNAcentral. RNAcentral also lists the same sequence under 1 other name.